RNAcentral lists this long non-coding RNA (1214 nucleotides) under Lupinus angustifolius (narrow-leaved blue lupine). RNAcentral's name for it is "long non-coding RNA (LANG_LNC003769)". Lineage: Eukaryota; Viridiplantae; Streptophyta; Magnoliopsida; Fabales; Fabaceae. The record is from RNAcentral.
GAACUCAAAAGAGUAUUUCAAACACAUCACACCAGCCAUAAAUUAUCAGUUAAUAAAAUCCCAAAGGACAGCACUAAGCAAAAGUAAUUUGAAAUCAUUAUCAUUUCAGUUACAAUUAUACAUAAUGGCCAGAAUAUCACAAAUAAAUGGUUAUAGCAAUCAGAAAGGCAAGCAGCUAAAUAACACAUCACUUAUGAGACUAAUCUAUAGAGAAAGAGCCAUUGAUUACAAAAAGAAUCCCAAACGAAAACAGAUGUGGUAUUAUGGCAAUAUUCAUUGGCAGCUUCAAUGCAUUGAAUCAGAGAAUCAACAGUUGCAGUAUGUUACACAUUUAUGGCCGUUCAAAAGGCUCACAUAAAGCAAACAACCAGCUAUAAAAACACCACUAUAGAGGCAUCAGAGGGAGGACAAUCGAAAACAGAGCAAAAACCUGGUCAUAUAGCAGCAUAAGUCACAGAAAAGAGACACACAGACACUCAGGACUCCGUGAAUAAAGAGAACACAAAAAAUAGGAAAGAUUGAGCAGAUACACAACUGUCCAAAUACGCACACAUAACAAAAAACAACAAACCCCUUAUAGCAAAUCGGAAAAUAUUCAUCACCAAAUACACCAUUUCAACAUAGCUAUAGACAUAAAAGGUUAAUCAAAGAUCCAACAUAGAAGGAGUAGGGUCCCUUACCGAGUUCCCUUAUGCUCUAUCGGCGUUGAGAUGUAGCCCGAAACCACAUAGAUGAGGUCAUGAACCAUCCUCAAACCUAGCUUUCCCUCACCGAGGCUAACCACUUUCGAAAAAGGGGAUAAAUGAAUCCAUACCUUACUGCAACGACCACCGUGAGGAUAGGAGACCAAAUCCGAACCACCUUGAACCACCGUAUCUCGCCGUGACCACCACUAAGGAAGAGCGGAGAAGAUGGAGUUGGGAUUCAGGGAUUGAAAUCCCAUUUUGUGCGAAAGAAUAGGGGUAACAGAACCCUCCAAACCACUUCCUCGUAGAUGGACCACCGCAUCUCACCGUGACCACCGCCGAUUGUAAAGAAGGAAGAAAACGGACUUCAUUCCAUGGCCAUCCCUGCCGCGUGAAGAGAAAGGAAUUGAGAAGAAAAUGAGAUUUUGGUUCUAGGGAUUUUUAUCCCAUAUGUGGUACAUGAAUUAGGGGUGACUUCGGUCACCCCCUUUACUUUUGUUUAUUGCCUUUAGUUUUUUUUAUCAUUUU